This is a long non-coding RNA of Cryptotermes secundus, 3054 nucleotides long. RefSeq lists it as uncharacterized. NCBI's taxonomy places the organism in Eukaryota, Metazoa, Arthropoda, Insecta, Blattodea, Kalotermitidae. The record is from RefSeq and is a predicted model, not a curated record. The transcript has 2 exons.
AGGUGGGAACGUUAUCCCUAGACUACGGAGGCCGCUAAGUCAUUCAAGAAACUUGCUAGAAUUCCCUGAGUCUAGGGUCUCAGAAGAUGGGACUUCCAGCAGUUCCCAUUAAGGUGAUGCAGCCAAGUUCAUAUCUGAUAUGGCUCAACUUCUGAGGUUCAACAAUCUGCUGGUGGAUGACCAUGAUUAUGAGCCACCAAUCAAGCGUUCUCAUAUAGAAGAGACACCAGAGGAUAUCACGUCAUCACUGCUGUAUGCAGGUAAAAACUACAUUAUACCACCACCAGAUGAAAUCUGGCCACCUCCAGAACCUGAAGAUGGUCAUAUCAGCAACAUGCUUGAGAAGCAUCUGGGAGAGCAGAUGAAGGUUAAUAUUUCAGAUUCUGGUGGAACAAGAACAGUGGUGCUUUAGGUACCUAAAGAACAGUUAAUAUGUGUGUCCAAAGCAAGGCAUUUUAUUUCAGUGAGGAAACUGUUACCAACUUAAAAAAAUGUUUUCUUGUUGAAUUCUGGUGAUUGUAGUUGUUGCAGUUUGCAAGUGACCAUUAAGAUGACAAUUCAUGAUAACUUUAAACAAGUUAUAUAUAAACUACUGCACACAGUAUAGUUAUCAUCUCCCCGAUGUUCUUGUGUACAUGAACUAUAUUGUAUAUACCAUGUGUAGUAUAUAGAUAUUUCAUACUAUUAAAAUCAGUUUUGCCUGUUAUUUUUAUGUGAUUUUCUUUGAGCUUAAUAAUAAUGGCUUUUCCUGCAAUCCUUUGUGCAUCCUUGUUUAAUAAACAGUGAGCUUUGCAUGAUAUAUCUUAAACACUUAAUUCUUAUGUAUCAAAACUGAGAUCAAAGACAGUCUGGAACUGACAUCCAAUGAAUUCAUCAGAAUUAUUUGUAUUAACAUUUUAGUGUUAAUUUCUUUUUAUUUUGGAAACAGAAUAGUUUACAUGUAUAUUCCUAUGGGCCUUCUCACUAUAAAAGCAAUUCUCACAAUGCACACACAAGGGGGAAGAAUUGAUGACAGUCAAUAUGGCAACUGGCAACACUGGGCUUGGGAAAAAGAAAUAAUCAUGUAUCUAAUUAAAGCAUGACUAAAAUAUUGGACCUCUCUUUCUUCAGCAGUGAUCUAGGUCUGAUUGUAGAACUGAAAAACGUUUAUAUUCCCAGAGAAGUUAACACUAAGUAAGAACACAAUUUGCUCAUUAAAUAUGUAGAUUAUACAUUGUUUUUUUAAAUAAUAAAUGUCACACACUUCUGGUGCCAUUCACAAUACUUAAUAAUAAAAAUUGACUCCAUUCUGUCUUGGCUCAGGUUGAUUACUAAGACAAGACAGUGAAUGGACUAAUUAAACAUCACAUUUGACUUCAUCACUAAACUUUUACAGUGUAUUUUGCAAAUCACUGUGAAGUCAUAUUAACACUUUUUAACACACCGAUGCGACUUCUGUCAUGAUUAACAAUAAGAAAUAAUCCUGUCUUGGAUAGAGAGACCAUAUUAACAAAAUUGGCCAGGCAUUACUUUGGCUCUUAAAAGUUUAGUAGCAUUCCUUAUAUUUUAUUUCACUUAAGCUGUUUGAAGAUAUUUUUAUUAACAAAUAAUAUAUUAAGAUUCUUUCUCCCUUUGGCAACUGCAACAAGUUACAUACUCAAGUCUAAAAAUGAAGAAGAAACAGAUGUAUGAACUGUUGCAGACUCUGAAGAUGCAUUAAGUAAAUUCAUCGCCUUGGCUGCCACAAUUCUUGGAAUAUAAAGCCCACUGCAUUCAUAGGGAUGACUAUAUACAAAGUUGGAGGCUAGUUCAACCCCACUAGAACAACUGUUAUGUAUCUUUUUUAUCAUAGUGAUUUUUGUCCAUUCACACAGGAAAACUGCCAUAAAUAUAGUUUCACUUCUGGUCACAUGUAACCAGAUGUUAUAUAAAACACGUAGAGAAGAUAAAAUUUGGGAAAGUUUACAAACCAAUAUCCUGAUCAUGUGACAGGAGUACACUGCACACCUCCCCCAUGAAAUGUGAAAUGGUAAUUCAACAGUUACGAGCUCCUGUUUGUAUUUCUUAAGCAAAUCCAAGCAGUUUUUGAUUUCCUAGUAUCUCAUUUUUACAGAACAUUAUGUUGGCUGGCUGACUGCAGUAACAAAUCUCUUCUCUUAAAAACAUUGUUACCAAUACAUUUCCCUUUGAAAUUAGUGCCAUAAAGUUCACACAUACAUUCACAGAUUUCAAAUUCCAGGGCAAACAUCUGAAGUUGUAUCAGCUUAUCACUAGUUUCAUAGACAUUUCACAUUACCUUCCUCUGCCUGAUGGUGCUGCAAGAUGCUAAAAAUGGAACAAUAUGACACCUUUUGACAGCACAGUUACUAUGAACACAGUGCUAACCACAAAAAAAAAAUGUUGUACUUUUACUUUAAAAAUCUACUUUGCAGCUCAAAAUUUGCAGAUUAUUAACAAUGUGGAGAAAGCCAUGGAUAAUUAAAUCAUCUACAUUACUGUGGCUUCACAAGAUGUGUAGAUGUACAUAAAAUCACAGAGUACUAUCUUCUGGGACACGGGGGUGUCUGUAGUGUAGUCUGGUAGUUUAUCGACAUUUCUGAGAGACAUACAGCAUCCACCUUCAGAGCUGAAAAGUAAGCUAAACAAGCUGCAAGGAGUGCACAACUAUGCCCAUUGCUUGGCUUACUCUCUGACCUAGGCAGUAAGUUCCUCCAAAAUAUCAGCUAACUUCUACCAGCAUCAUAGUUCCUGCUGUGUGAACCUCAAAUCUAACAUACAUGAAACCAGUUUGUAAUUGGAGGGUGAAACAUAUGCUACAAAUUAUGGCUCAAGUAACUGUUACAAGAAAAUAACAGUAUCCUUUAAUAUGCUUAACAUGACUAAAAUAGGUUGCUCACAGUACCUCCACAAUUAUCAUGUAAGUGGUUGUUGCAAAACAUUUUACCAUAAACAACAGAAAGGAAUGCUCACAAAGUCCAUAAAACUUCUCCCUGGAAUGUGUAAACACAUGUUACUGUAACUGUAUUCCUCUGAAAUUAAAUCUGAUAACAGUUCAUCAAUAAUAAUAUAAUGGGG